ACUCCUACGGGAGGCAGCAGUGGGGAAUAUUGCACAAUGGGCGCAAGCCUGAUGCAGCCAUGCCGCGUGUGUGAAGAAGGCCUUGGGUUGUAAAGCACUUUCAGUCGUGAGGAAGGUAGUGUAGUUAAUAGCUGCAUUAUUUGUACGUUAGCGACAGAAGAAGCACCGGCUAACUCCGUGCCAGCAGCCGCGGUAAUACGGAGGGUGCGAGCGUUAAUCGGAAUUACUGGGCGUAAAGCGCAUGCAGGUGGUUUGUUAAGUCAGAUGUGAAAGCCCGGGGCUCAACCUCGGAAUAGCAUUUGAAACUGGCAGACUAGAGUACUGUAGAGGGGGUAGGAAUUUCAGGUGUAGCGGUG
RNAcentral lists this ribosomal RNA (356 nucleotides) under uncultured bacterium. Its description in RNAcentral is "bacterial SSU rRNA". It matches the Rfam family "Bacterial small subunit ribosomal RNA", at positions 335 to 683 of the family's 1533-position model. The record is from RNAcentral.